CUNACCAUGCAGUCGAACGGUGAUGGCCAGCUUGCUGGUCUGAUCAUGGCGAACGGGUGAGUAACACGUGAGCAACCUGCCCCUUCNNUCUGGAAUAACCACCGGAAACGGUGGCUAAUACCGGAUAUGAGACGUACACGCAUGUGUCGCGUCUGGAAAGAUUUAUCGGUGAAGGAUGGGCUCGCGGCCUAUCAGCUUGUUGGUGGGGUAGUGGCCCACCAAGGCGACGACGGGUAGCCGGCCUGAGAGGGCGACCGGCCACACUGGGACUGAGAUACGGCCCAGACUCCUACGGGAGGCAGCAGUGGGGAAUAUUGCACAAUGGGCGCAAGCCUGAUGCAGCGACGCCGCGUGAGGAGAGAAUGACGGCCUUCGGGUUGUAAACCUCUUUCAGCAGGGAAGAAGCGCAAGUGGUGACGGUACCUGCAGAAGAAGCGCCGGCUAACUACGUGCCAGCAGCCGCGGUAAUACGUAGGGCGCAAGCGUUGUCCGGAAUUAUUGGGCGUAAAGAGCUCGUANGCGGUUUGUCGCGUCUGCUGUGAAAACCUAAGCUCAACCUUGGGCUUGCAGUGGGUACGGGCAGACUAGAGUGCGGUAGGGUGACUGGAAUUCCUGGUGUAGCGGUGGAAUGCGCAGAUAUCAGAGGAACACCGAUGGCGAAGCAGUCACUGGGCCGCAACUGACGCUGAGAGCGAAAGCAUGGGGAGCGACAGAU
RNAcentral lists this ribosomal RNA (715 nucleotides) under Cellulomonas sp. 1.9-13. RNAcentral's name for it is "bacterial SSU rRNA". It matches the Rfam family "Bacterial small subunit ribosomal RNA", at positions 48 to 778 of the family's 1533-position model. Lineage: Bacteria; Bacillati; Actinomycetota; Actinomycetes; Micrococcales; Cellulomonadaceae. The record is from RNAcentral.